Molecule: ribosomal RNA, 253 nt
Filed under: uncultured bacterium
Lineage: Bacteria
Also listed under: 1 other name
Description: partial 16S ribosomal RNA
Rfam family: Bacterial small subunit ribosomal RNA
Source: RNAcentral
UACGGAGGGUGCAAGCGUUGUCCGGAUUUAUUGGGUUUAAAGGGUGCGUAGGCGGCUCUUUAAGUCAGUGGUGAAAGCCGACAGCUUAACUGUCGAAAUGCCAUUGAUACUGGGGAGCUUGAGUACAGUAGAGGUAGGCGGAAUUAAUGGUGUAGCGGUGAAAUGCAUAGAUACCAUUAAGAACACCGAUUGCGAAGGCAGCUUACUAUAGUGUAACUGACGCUGAGGCACGAAAGUGUGGGGAUCAAACAGG